AGAGUUUGAUCCUGGCUCAGGACGAACGCUGGCGGCGUGCUUAACACAUGCAAGUCACGGGGGCCCGCAAGGGUAACCGGCGAACGGGUGCGUAACACGUGAGCAAUCUGCCGUCCACUGGGGGAUAGCCGGCCCAACGGCCGGGUAAUACCGCAUACGCUUGCCGGGUGGCAUCACUUGGCAAGGAAACCUCCGGGGGUGGACGAGGAGCUCGCGGCCUAUCAGCUAGUUGGUGGGGUCACGGCCCACCAAGGCGAUGACGGGUAGCUGGUCUGAGAGGAUGGCCAGCCACAUUGGGACUGAGAUACGGCCCAGACUCCUACGGGAGGCAGCAGUGGGGAAUAUUGCGCAAUGGCCGCAAGGCUGACGCAGCGACGCCGCGUGGGGGAUGAAGCAUUUCGGUGUGUAAACCCCUGUUGCCCGGGACGAACCUCCCCUUUCGAGGGGACUGACGGUACCGGGUGAGGAAGCACCGGCUAACUCCGUGCCAGCAGCCGCGGUAAUACGGAGGGUGCGAGCGUUGUCCGGAAUCACUGGGCGUAAAGGGCGCGUAGGCGGUGACUUAAGCGUGUGGUGAAAGCCCGGGGCUCAACCCCGGGUCGGCCGUGCGGACUGGGUCACUCGAGCACUGUAGAGGCAGGUGGAAUUCCGGGUGUAGCGGUGGAAUGCGUAGAGAUCCGGAAGAACACCAGUGGCGAAGGCGGCCUGCUGGGCAGUAGCUGACGCUGAGGCGCGACAGCGUGGGAGCAAACAGGAUUAGAUACCCUGGUAGUCCACGCCGUAAACGAUGGGCACUAGUG
RNAcentral lists this ribosomal RNA (800 nucleotides) under uncultured bacterium. Its description in RNAcentral is "bacterial SSU rRNA". It matches the Rfam family "Bacterial small subunit ribosomal RNA", at positions 8 to 821 of the family's 1533-position model. The record is from RNAcentral.